Molecule: ribosomal RNA, 250 nt
Filed under: uncultured bacterium
Lineage: Bacteria
Description: partial 16S ribosomal RNA
Rfam family: Bacterial small subunit ribosomal RNA
Source: RNAcentral
AACGUAGGAGGCGAGCGUUAUCCGGAUUUACUGGGCGUAAAGCGCGUGCAGGCGGUCGGGUAAGUUGGAUGUGAAAGCUCCUGGCUUAACUGGGAGAGGUCGUUCAAUACUACCGGACUAGAGGAAGGGAGAGGGAGGUGGAAUUCCGGGUGUAGUGGUGAAAUGCGUAGAUAUCCGGAGGAACACCAGUGGCGAAAGCGGCCUCCUGGCCCAAACCUGACGCUCAGACGCGAAAGCUAGGGGAGCGAAC